Molecule: ribosomal RNA, 436 nt
Filed under: uncultured bacterium
Lineage: Bacteria
Description: bacterial SSU rRNA
Rfam family: Bacterial small subunit ribosomal RNA
Source: RNAcentral
AACGCGAAGAACCUUACCUGGGUUUGACAUGCGGGUGAAACUCUCAUGAAAGUGGGAGCCUCCUUCGGGACACCAGCACAGGUGCUGCAUGGCUGUCGUCAGCUCGUGUCGUGAGAUGUUGGGUUAAGUCCCGCAACGAGCGCAACCCUUGCCCCGUGUUGCUAACAGGUAGAGCUGAGGACUCUCGGGGGACUGCCGGCGUCAAGCCGGAGGAAGGUGGGGACGACGUCAAGUCAUCAUGGCCCUUACGAGUAGGGCUACACACGUGCUACAAUGGGCUGUACAAAGGGUUGCCAAGCCGCGAGGUGGAGCUAAUCCCGUAAAACAGUUCGUAGUCCGGAUCGGAGUCUGCAACUCGACUCCGUGAAGCCGGAAUCGCUAGUAAUCGUAAAUCAGAAUGUUACGGUGAAUACGUUCCCGGGCCUUGUACACACCG